This is a long non-coding RNA of Xiphophorus maculatus (southern platyfish), 822 nucleotides long. RefSeq lists it as uncharacterized. NCBI's taxonomy places the organism in Eukaryota, Metazoa, Chordata, Actinopteri, Cyprinodontiformes, Poeciliidae. The record is from RefSeq and is a predicted model, not a curated record. The transcript has 3 exons.
AUUUAAAAAAAGGAGCUGCUGAAGCGACCUCUGCAACAAUCCCGAACUGCUUACUCAUCCGUCCAAACGAACCCGCAUCGUAAGUGGAAGCUGCCUACAUGAAGUCUCACCAUAGAGACGGAGCUGGCCGCCACCCUGUAACCCAUAGCAACGCCAUCAGCUGCAGUGGGCGGAGCCGCCGGUGUUGAAGCUUCUGAUUGGCCGAUAACAGGUGUCCUGACAUUCCAUAUAAGGAAGGUGGCGGAAGCAUCGUUCAUUUUUAAAUAUGUCAGGAAUGAACACGCUGGAUAACCUGCAACAUGUUUAAGUGAGACUGACUGUGACCAUUUCAGUGUAACUGACAGGAUGGGACAACAGAGAGCAGUGCAGAUCAUCUCCCACCAGAGUGCACUGCUUCCCUGGAAAUUAAAGGUUGAUUUCUGUGUAUGGUUUCAGAUUUCCAUUCAUGUAACGUUAUCCAGCUCUGGCCACAAGCUGCUACACACCCAGAUAUACGCUCACAGCAUCCACCGUUUUCUCAAAAUAUGUAAACAAACAGAUGAAUAUUAAUUAAUUAGAACAUUAUAUAUUAUUCCAGCAAUUCAGUUUAUAUAGUGGAACUAAUAAUUAGUCACAUUUUCAAACUUUUAGUCAAUUUUGAUGAUUAUGGCUUACACCUAAUUAAGACGCAAAAUUCAAGAACAGUUUUCCUUCUACUAAACUUUCCAUUAUUAGGCUAGCAUAAAAUACUGUAUAAGGAGACAUAGUCCUUAUGAAUUAACAUUUUGCAGAUUUCAUUAGAAAUGUGUGAAAAACUGUCAUCAUUUCGCUAAUGUAGAAAAA